This 303-nucleotide ribosomal RNA is filed under the name uncultured bacterium. RNAcentral describes it as "partial 16S ribosomal RNA". It matches the Rfam family "Bacterial small subunit ribosomal RNA", at positions 507 to 808 of the family's 1533-position model. The record is from RNAcentral.
AGCAGUAGCCGCGGUAAUACGUAGGUCCCGAGCGUUGUCCGGAUUUAUUGGGCGUAAAGCGAGCGCAGGCGGUUAGAUAAGUCUGAAGUUAAAGGCUGUGGCUUAACCAUAGUACGCUUUGGAAACUGUUUAACUUGAGUGCAGAAGGGGAGAGUGGAAUUCCAUGUGUAGCGGUGAAAUGCGUAGAUAUAUGGAGGAACACCGGUGGCGAAAGCGGCUCUCUGGUCUGUAACUGACGCUGAGGCUCGAAAGCGUGGGGAACAAACAGGAUUAGAUACCCCAGUAGUCCCUGUCUCUUAUACA